Non-coding RNA from Oryctolagus cuniculus (rabbit), 679 nucleotides. Lineage: Eukaryota; Metazoa; Chordata; Mammalia; Lagomorpha; Leporidae. The record is from the annotation of a RefSeq genome assembly.
AGAUAUCCAUCAGGAUGAAAGAAUCUGGUCGGUGGUUUAGUAGUUGAGUGUCUGACCACAAGAGGGCAGAGCGUCUCUGCAGACCCAUGGUAUAGGACAGGCUGUCUUUGGUUGACUUCUAUAGGAGCAGGCUCAAGACAGAAGCAGACGCCUGUGCAGUUUGAAGACCGCUGUGCCUUGGAGCAAAUGAGGAGACAUCUGUGAUAGACGGAGCUCUCCUGGCUGGAUCUUGCAGGUCCCAAUGGGCAGAACUAUGAGGACACAUGCAGGACCUUUCUUCCUGUUCCUGUGGCUGCAGCUGCACUGUGUGAGUGGAGGAGAGACGGUGGAGCAGAGUCCUUCUUUCUUGAGUGUCCAGGAGGGAGACGGCUGUGUUAUCAACUGCACUUACACAGACAGUGCCUUCAACUACUUCUAUUGGUAUAAGCAAGUACCUGGAGCAGGCCUCCAGUUUCUUAUAAAUAUUUUCUCAAGUAUGGAUAAGAAAGAAGAGCAAAGGCUCACCGUCCUCAUGAGCAAGAAGGACCAGCGUCUCUCCCUGCACAUUGCAGCUGCCCGUCCUGCAGACUCAGCCACCUACUUCUGUGCUGCAGGAGCACAGUGCUCCCCAGGCACCUGCAGCCUCUACUCAAACCCGCAACAAAGGCUAACAACACGCUCAGCUUUUUUUGUCCUUUGA